Molecule: ribosomal RNA, 273 nt
Filed under: Streptococcus infantarius subsp. infantarius
Lineage: Bacteria; Bacillati; Bacillota; Bacilli; Lactobacillales; Streptococcaceae
Description: partial 16S ribosomal RNA
Rfam family: Bacterial small subunit ribosomal RNA
Source: RNAcentral
AUNACUAUUGNAAACGAUAGCUAAUACCGCAUAACANCAUUUAACCCAUGUUAGAUGCUUGAAAGGAGCAAUUGCUUCACUAGUAGAUGGACCUGCGUUGUAUUAGCUAGUUGGUGAGGUAACGGCUCACCAAGGCGACGAUACAUAGCCGACCUGAGAGGGUGAUCGGCCACACUGGGACUGAGACACGGCCCAGACUCCUACGGGAGGCAGCAGUAGGGAAUCUUCGGNAAUGGGGGCAACCCUGACCGAGCAACGCCGCGUGAGUGAAGA